This 449-nucleotide ribosomal RNA is filed under the name uncultured bacterium. RNAcentral describes it as "partial 16S ribosomal RNA". It matches the Rfam family "Bacterial small subunit ribosomal RNA", at positions 29 to 523 of the family's 1533-position model. The record is from RNAcentral.
AACGAACGCUGGCGGCAUGCCUAACACAUGCAAGUCGAACGAGACCUUCGGGUCUAGUGGCGCACGGGCGCGUAACGCGUGGGAAUCUGCCCUUCGGUUGGGAAUAACUGAGAGAAAUUUCAGCUAAUACCUUAUAAUGUCUUCGGACCAAAGAUUUAUCGCCGAGGGAUGAGCCCGCGUAGGAUUAGGUAGUUGGUGGGGUAAUGGCCUACCAAGCCGACGAUCCUUAGCUGGUCUGAGAGGAUGAUCAGCCACACUGGGCCUGAGACACGGCCCAGACUCCUACGGGAGGCAGCAGUGGGGAAUAUUGGACAAUGGGCGAAAGCCUGAUCCAGCAAUGCCGCGUGAGUGAUGAAGGCCUUAGGGUUGUAAAGCUCUUUUACCCGGGAUGAUAAUGACAGUACCGGGAGAAUAAGCUCCGGCUAACUCCGUGCCAGCCGCCGCGGUAA